This is a long non-coding RNA of Talpa occidentalis (Iberian mole), 3164 nucleotides long. RefSeq lists it as uncharacterized. NCBI's taxonomy places the organism in Eukaryota, Metazoa, Chordata, Mammalia, Eulipotyphla, Talpidae. The record is from RefSeq and is a predicted model, not a curated record. The transcript is spliced from 4 exons.
UGGGGCUGUUGGGACUGGAAGCUCUUUGCCGGGCGCGCUCUGCGGUGCCUUUCCUUUGUGGGCCGAGGCCUGGCGCUGGCGUGCGAGCCCUGGAACGCCUUUCGUGGGCGUGGGCCAUCCGGCCACGCCUGUCCAGCCUGCAGUCACGAAAUGGGUUCACAGCUUUGAUGAAAUGGACAUGCCUGACUGGUGAGAAGUAACUGUCACUGACUAUUCCUUUUUUGUAGUCCUUCAUCACUUUGAGAUGUUUCUCCAGGAUUCCUGAUUGUCAUCUGUGGGAUGGUUAACGUGACUUUGUCGUUCAUUUCAUUCUUCCUUCACAAGCAUCCUGGAACCCAAAGAGAUAGGAAACUGAGGACAUUCGUGCAGGUGUUUUAAAGAACAGCAACGGGGAGAUUUGGCAUCCGAUAGGUGAAACUGUCCCCCACGAUUACUCCAUACACUGAGACUCCUUCAAAAGAGAUACACCAGGCUGACGUAAACGCACAGAAGCAGGAACAUGUAAUGCCCACAGCCGAGACUCUUUUUCUUCCUAUCCCACGUGGGUCCGAUUAAAUGCCAAGGGUCCUGGGGAGUCCACAGUGCAACUAUGGAAUCAGACAGGCACCCUUGAGUGAACAUAUGUGCUGUCCCAGGACUGGGCCUCUGGUGCUUAGGACAGUGUCGGAAUCACAGUAAGGCCCCUUGAUGCAAACUCCUAUACUUUCCCGGUCCACUCCUUCCAUGUUAGAUCUUGCAAUUCACAUCACAUCUCUCCUUACACCUCCAUCUAUGCGAACAGCCAAAUUUGGGUCAAUGGUUCUGAGAACAUGGAAGGAAGCCCUUACAGAACUUCCCUCCUAGCCACAGUUGAAACUAGAUACUCUGCCUUCCAUGUUGUCAUUAUGGAUAACUGUCUACACCCCUAUCAAAAUCCAGGCCUGGAGCUGGGCACUACCUUCAUCUCUGCUUGAUGAACUCGAUGAGUCAGUGUUGCCUGAGGAAUGCUCCUCGAGUUCUCCACCACAUCACUGAUUCUGCCUUCUUUGCUGGAUGAGUCCCAUUCAACUGUUCUACAAAGUCUCACAGUUUAAGAAUAGAACAAGAAGCAAACAAACAAAACUGAACUGCACAAUCCCUCCAACUAUACCAACCAACCACAUUAUAUAGUUGUGCUCAGAAACCCAAAGGCUGAACCACGAAGUGGCUUCCACAAAGGAAGCAUUUUGUUAGCAAGUGGUGCCAUGUCAGGAGGACAGCAGAGUCAGUCCUCAGAAAAGGCUGCCUUCCCCAGUGGCAAGUGAAGAAAGAUUGUAUAGGGAAGAAAGGAAUGCGGAGACAUGCAAGAGUGGGGAGGGCUUCUACACGCUCAAGUCUGGGGGUACCGGGUCUAGGGAUAGUCAAUCACAGUACUAUUUUUUUAAAAGAUUUAUUAUGUAUACAAGAGCUGGGGUACAGGCCAGAGACGUGGGGUAGGGGGUGAGAGUAUUCACCAGAGACAGAGUAGGGGAACAGAGCAGGCAGGUCAAUCACAAUACUAUUGAUAGUAUUUCUGUAGUAGUUGCUCUCUUCUCUGUUAUUAGAAGGACACUUGGUUGUUUGUCCCACUAUAGAGAGCUGUGUGGAGAUUCCUCAACCUACUAAACGUAGAGCUUCCAUAUGAUCCAGCAAUUCCACUCCUAGGUAUUUACCCAAAGGACACAGAAACAUCAAUUCCAAAGAGCACCUGCACCCCUAUGUUUAUAGCAGCACUAUUUACAAUAGCUAAGCUUUGGAAACAACCCAAAUGCCCAAAAAUAGAUGACUGGAUCAAGAAGAUGUGGUACACAUACCCCAUGGAAUAUUACUCGGCCUUCAAAAAAGAUAAACACAUGCAAUUUGCAGCAACAUGGAUGGCGCUGGAAGGGAUCAUGCUCAGUGAAAUAAGCCAGAAAGAAAAAGAAAAAUACCGGAUGGUCUCACUCAUAGCAGGAAUCUAGAAAACCUAAAUAAGGGACCAGGAAAAAGAAUAACUAUAAGAAAGAAAAAAUCAAAAUCAACAAACAACUAUGAACCAGAGACACACUAUGGGGGGGGCAGGGAAAGGAGGGAUUGGGAUCAAAACAAGGGGUUGCAAUUGUAUGGGGAAUAUAAAAAUAAAAUUUAAAAUAAAAGGAUUAGGUUUUAUAAUGAAAAAAAAAAAAGGAGAAGGACACUUGGUUGUUUGUCAAGCACUGAUAUAAUUAGCAUCCUGAAAAGGAACAGAAACUUUUUGCUAAGCACUGGGCACAGCCCUGAGGAAUGCAACACACUGGCUUCUAAGGCAGGGGUCAUGUCCUUAUUUUUGAUACAGGCCGGAUCACACAUCUACUGCAUCAUCUUCUCUCUACUUCCUUGUUACAACAAAGUUCCUCAAAACUCAUUGUUUUUCAGACCUCCAUUUUUUGAUUUCCAUUUUCACUUGAAUGUACCCCACUAGCCCAAUCAAGCUUUCGUUACCACUCUCCAGUGAAAUUGCUCUUCACCAGGACCUGCACAUUGCUAAAUUUGGCCAUUUCAAUGCUUGUCUUACUUGAUUAAUUAGUAGCCUUUGGCACAGUUGAUCACUUCCUCCUGUUGCAAUACUUGCAUCACUUUACAGGACAUUUUUGUCUCUUGGCCUUCCUUCUGCUGCAGGGUCUGCUAUUUUCCAGUGUUCUGGCUAGUUGCUCUCUGUACUGGAGUACUCUGAGUUUCAACACUUAGAUUUAUUUUCUUCCCUAUUUAUGCUCACUCCCCACAGAAUCAUGCAUAGUUCCAUCAUUUUGAUCAUAUCCACACAUAGGAAUGUCACACAUUAAUGUUUCAAGUCCAGUCUUCUCCCUAAACUCCAGGUUCAUAUAUUCAAUUGCUUACUCAACAUAACCAACUGGAUAGCUAAUGCGUAUCUCCAUUUCAAAUUCAUCAUAUACUGAACUAGGUCACUUAUUCUACCUCUCAUCAAAGCUACUCCUAUUAUUUUCCCAAUCUUACGACUUUUUAACACUCACCCACCAAUUUGGUGAUUUAAAUUCUACUAGAUAAUUAUUUCUCUAAUUUAUCUGGCUUUUAAAAUUCUUUUGCAUAACUACUUCUCUUUAUUUUCUUAGUUUCUUCUCUAUUGCGGCAUAAAAAACAUACAAAACACUCAAGCAGUACCUGGAUGUUCCUAACCAAAACAAAAAAAG